UACGUAGGGUGCGAGCGUUAAUCGGAAUUACUGGGCGUAAAGCGUGCGCAGGCGGUGAUGUAAGACCGAUGUGAAAUCCCCGGGCUUAACCUGGGAACUGCAUUGGUGACUGCAUCGCUUGAGUAUGGCAGAGGGGGGUAGAAUUCCACGUGUAGCAGUGAAAUGCGUAGAGAUGUGGAGGAAUACCGAUGGCGAAGGCAGCCCCCUGGGUCAAUACUGACGCUCAUGCACGAAAGCGUGGGGAGCAAACAGG
Molecule: ribosomal RNA, 253 nt
Filed under: uncultured bacterium
Lineage: Bacteria
Description: partial 16S ribosomal RNA
Rfam family: Bacterial small subunit ribosomal RNA
Source: RNAcentral